RNAcentral lists this long non-coding RNA (276 nucleotides) under Vigna radiata. RNAcentral describes it as "long non-coding RNA (VRAD_LNC014297)". The record is from RNAcentral. Lineage: Eukaryota; Viridiplantae; Streptophyta; Magnoliopsida; Fabales; Fabaceae.
UGCAACACCUCAACUUCACCACAAUUUUCAGAAAGCAGACUUGUCACACAAAACAGAGCACAGUUGAAUCAAAGCAGUUAAAUUCAUUCAAGAAGAGAAAAUAAAAAAAAAGGAAACACACAUUGAAACAAAAAUUAAAAUUAAAAAAAAAUUAAAAGUAAAGGUUUAGAACAAUGGGUUGCCUCCCAGCAAGCGUUUCUUUAACGUCACUAGCUUGACCCAAUAAGCUCAUGACACAUCAACCAGCUGCAUCUUUGAUUGUGGUAUCAUCCUUUC